ACCAGCAACAACAACAAAUGAGCAAAUUAAAAUGGUGGCUUUAAACAACUAGUGUUGGGUACUUUCCCACAGUGUGUUCCACAGCUGUAAGCGGAACACUGUUCAAGCUGAAAUUGCAGAUUAAAAGGUGCGUUCUUUGCUCUCAGCGUCAUGGUUAAAACCAUGGACAGAAAUCAUUACAAGCAAGCCUGGAAGAGAAAGGGCUUAGCAUCCGAGCUGAGGGUGGAGGAAGAGUGCAGCUUGCCAGGCUCCAGGGUCUUGGGAGGCAGCAGUCCAGGUGCAGCAACCAUCCCGAAGAGCUACAGCAAUUCAGCUGUAGUAUAGGUCCAAAGAGUGGGUACGGGGCUGAUAAAAGUGGGGAGACCUGUCAUGGAUGAAGAGAAAUUGCAUAGGGAACCUACUAUGCCAGGCUGAAAAAUGCUGAUUUUGUCCUGGCCCCAGUGGGUGAGUGCUGGAGAUUUUGGAACACGCUUAUCUGCGUGGCGUAAACACCCAUUUGUUGGUGGAAAAAAAGCAAUAACUCUUUGCCAAUCAACUGAGUGGAAAAAGGGCCACAUUGCAACCCAAGCAGUUUCUAUUUAAGUCCUUGUGCUCCCUGUGACUCACCGUAUAAUUUUGAAGAGAUUACUUAAGGCCCAUGCCCUCCCUGUAAACACCUGUCACUCUCCCGGUUUGCAGAGAUGCUAGGAGGCUAAUGAGAUCACAUGUAUGGAAUGUAUGGGAGCUUCUAAAAGAAAUAAACCAGAUACAUUCACGAUAGUAUUAUCAUCACCUCAGCCAUCUGGAAGUCAACUUUCUAGCAGACAUAGGGGUUCUGAGCAGGGCAGAAGCCAGAAACUCAGAAAUAAAGGAAAAACAAAGAAAGGUAUUUGGCCCCAGAGAAAGCAGGAAGGAGAUACGGAAAGGACUGGAGAGUGAAAGAUAGCAUGAUACAGGACGUGCUGGGCUGCGAAGGAGACCCCCACACCCCCCUUGGAGGAAAUGACAGGGAAAGCUCCUUCUAUUGAAUAAAUCAAGUCUGCUCAGAAAGAAAUAGAAUUAAAGCACAGGCAUUUAAUCAAAUCAGACAAGUCACUCAAAGCUUACCAAAUGUUGGGGCCUCUUCCAGCUCUACUACUCACGGAGAUGCAGACGCUGCUAACUCACUCCCAUUCUCCCCUCAUCUUCACCAUCAGAAGUAGAGUGGGUGAUGCCUGGCUUAUGACGGACCUGUGCGAAUAGAGGGAGAACAAUCCCACAGGAGGCCUUCACCCAGAGGUGGCUACUGUGAUCACCCAGAUGUGCGUGCCCCAAAAGCUCAUGAGUGCAGAUGAAGUGGAGGGAUAGCCCGACAUCUUCCUGAAAAACCUACCCCUGAACACAAGGAAGAUAACACAAGGCCACACCAGAGACCCCCGUGGUUCACUUUUCUUCUUUCUCUUCCUAAUGAGGUGGGGCCCAGCUCUUGCAUAUUGAAAACAUGACUGCAGGUGUCUGGAUGCAGCAGCCUCUUCCAUCUGUAUCCAGUUCCAUCACUUGGAUAUGCCACCCUAGGACCCAGGUCCCAUUUUCUACUUUUGUUUGAAAACGUAGACCAGCUCUGGGAGGUAUGACAUGUAGAUGACAUCAUCUCACAAAUGGAAAACCAGACCCUCAAAAGUAAAUACUGCACUCGCACCCCAAGAGAGAGCUGGGAGCAGAGGCCAGUGUGAGGACUUGACACCCCAAGAUGCUAACUGCGUCCUUGUUUUCUGCAAAACUAACAGAACACUAAGAGAAGUGAGAUUGUCUGCCUCAGCUGCAAAGUUGAAAUGGGUCUACUUGUACAAUCUUCAGGUGGACUAAAAUCAUCCACACAGAGGGCAGUGCAAGAUUGGACGCCAUAGAAGAAUGCACAAAAGGAAUUGAUUCUAAAUUGCUGCAGAAUGAUUAGAGUUUGGUACCAGGAGAGAAAAACAAAAAGCAAACAAACAAAAUAGGACAUAGGCAUUGGAGAACCUGCCGAGGGUUUUCUAAGGGAGGCUGCCAGGAUGUCUUUCCUGGAGGCUCAUGGACAAGAAGGCCACCUGUUAGGCAGGGGUGGGCUAACAGAGGGGAGAUGGAACAAGUGACCCAUUGCUGCUCUGGUCCCAACCUUGUGGCAGAAGUUCCUCCAUGUGGAUCUCCCAUCAUUUUUAGGAGAAAGCUGCUUGUACAAUGCAAACUUACCCCAACCAUGCUAAGAUUUUGGUUUUAUUACAAGUUCUGCUGCUCAGAUCUCUUUUCUGUCAGAUCCCUGGAGAGGUGCAGCUGCAAGCAGUGGUUGCAAAGUGACACUUACAUAUCUACCAGUCUGGCUCUAAAAGUCUCCCCACUGAACACCUAAGGCCCUGUUCUGCCUUCAUAGCUCUCUGAAUACCGAAUUUUACCCAACAGUGCUUCCAACACUUGAGUAGGAAAGAGAGAAGGGUGAAAAUAAUUGGCUUAUGAGGGCUUUCAAGGGUGAACUUUGCUGACCUGAAUCAUUUGGCUGCUGCAUCCAGACACCUGCAGUCAUAUUUUCAAUAUGCAAGAGCAAAGAGGAAUUAGGUAUGCCAGAACAGAGUCGUUUGUGUUCUGUGCAAUCUGUUCUCUACACAAUCACAAAGCAUGUUUUAAUGAUAUUUCAAAACACUUUUUCAAAGAGAGUUUAAUGCAAAGCAGAUUUCUUUGUGUAACAAAGACAGGAAAGAUACUACUUGACAGAAGCUCUUAAAUCCAAGACUACGGAGGCUAUCAAAAACAAUUGGCAGCAGGCCAGGAACUCAAAUUUUGACAAGAGUUGUCAGAUACUGUGAUUCAAGGGGCAAUACAAAUUUGUCAGAGGUAUUAUCCUUAGAUCAUCAAAAAUGUUCGUUGUGCUUAUCUAGAUUUCCCUCCAAAGAUCUUGCAAAGGUUAAGAGAACAAGUGAUGAUGUCUGGAGGGGCUUGUGAUCCCAGGCAGAAGUUGUAAGGAGGGCAAGUGUGAACCAUGGGGAUUUGGAGAUUUUCACUGAUAAGAUUUUACCUGAAAAGUCAGGUGAAUCUACCUCUGUAUGCAACACUCUUUUUUUUCUUUUCUUUUUUAAAUUAUACUUUAUGUUCUAGGGUACAUGUGCACAACUUGCAGGUUU
Cercocebus atys (sooty mangabey) is the source of this 3110-nucleotide long non-coding RNA. RefSeq lists it as uncharacterized. NCBI's taxonomy places the organism in Eukaryota, Metazoa, Chordata, Mammalia, Primates, Cercopithecidae. The record is from RefSeq and is a predicted model, not a curated record. The transcript has 3 exons.